RNAcentral lists this ribosomal RNA (450 nucleotides) under uncultured bacterium. Its description in RNAcentral is "partial 16S ribosomal RNA". It matches the Rfam family "Bacterial small subunit ribosomal RNA", at positions 354 to 796 of the family's 1533-position model. The record is from RNAcentral.
GUGGGGAAUUUUGGACAAUGGGCGCAAGCCUGAUCCAGCAAUGCCGCGUGCAGGAAGAAGGCCUUCGGGUUGUAAACUGCUUUUGUACGGAACGAAACGGUCCGGGUUAAUACCCUGGGCUAAUGACGGUACCGUAAGAAUAAGCACCGGCUAACUACGUGCCAGCAGCCGCGGUAAUACGUAGGGUGCAAGCGUUAAUCGGAAUUACUGGGCGUAAAGCGUGCGCAGGCGGUUUUGUAAUACAGGCGUGAAAUCCCGGGGCUCAACCUGGGAAUUGCGCUUGUGACUGAAAGGCUGGAGUGCGGCAGAGGGGGAUGGAAUUCCGCGUGUAGCAGUGAAAUGCGUAGAUAUGCGGAGGAACACCGAUGGCGAAGGCAAUCCCCUGGGCCUGCACUGACGCUCAUGCACGAAAGCGUGGGGAGCAAACAGGAUUAGAUACCCGUGUAGUCC